CUCUGAAAGCAAACGGACCCCUCCACAUGCCUGUCAUCCGGUGGCCACAUGGAAGCUGUCCCGGCUCAUCUCUUCCUCCACAGGCCUACUUUCCACACUGAGCCACAUGGCAGCCAUCCCUGCUCAUCUCUUCCUCCACAGGGCUACUUUCCACACUGAGUCACGUGGAAGCUGUCCCAGCUCAUCUCUUCCUCCACAGGCCUACUUUCCACACUGAGUCACGUGGCAGCCAUCCGGGCUCAUCUCUUCCUCCACAUGCCUGUCAUCCUGUGGCCACGUGGAAGCUGUCCCAGCUCAUCUCUUCCUCCACAGGCCUGCCAUCCAGUGGCCACGUGGAAGUCGUCCCGGUUCAUCUCUUCCUCCACAGGCCUACUUUCCACACUGAGCCACGUGGCAGCCGUCCUGGCUCAUCUCUUCCUCCAUAGGCCUGUCAUCCGGUGGCCACGUGGAAGCCGCCCCGGCUCAUCUCUUCCUCCACAGGCCUACUUUCCACACCGAGUCACGUGGAAGCCGCCCUGGCUCAUCUCUUCUUCCAUAGGCCUACUUUCCACACUGAGUCACGUGGAAGCCGUCCCAGCUCAUCUCUUCCUCCACAGGCCUACUUUCCACACUGAGAACAGGAUGAUAGAAGAGGAGGUGGAUUUGAAAGAUGGACCAUGACCCUUCUGUUCCUUUCCUACUUGGACAUCUGCCCACCACUCCGUGCAGACUCUCUCCUGCACCUACCAUCCUUCCAGAAGAGGCUGACAGAGAGCUUUUCCCCAGGCAGAGGAAGUAGCAGGAUGAGAUUUCUCCAGCAGAUGUGGUGUGACCAGCUGCCCCAAUUUCCAGCUGCUCUGCCUUCCUGGCUAUGAUGGCCGCCUGCACCCUGGGACUGGGAACAAAAAUAAACUUGUUCUUCCCUAA
This is a long non-coding RNA of Mastomys coucha (southern multimammate mouse), 906 nucleotides long. RefSeq lists it as uncharacterized. The record is from RefSeq and is a predicted model, not a curated record. NCBI's taxonomy places the organism in Eukaryota, Metazoa, Chordata, Mammalia, Rodentia, Muridae. The transcript has 3 exons.